Molecule: ribosomal RNA, 274 nt
Filed under: uncultured bacterium
Lineage: Bacteria
Description: partial 16S ribosomal RNA
Rfam family: Archaeal small subunit ribosomal RNA
Source: RNAcentral
AAACCAGCACCUCAAGUGGUCAGGAUGAUUAUUGGGCCUAAAGCAUCCGUAGCCUGCUCUGUAAGUUUUCGGUUAAAUCUGUACGCUCAACGUACAGGCUGUCGGGAAUACUGCAGAGCUAGGGAGUGGGAGAGGUAGACGGUACUCGGGAGGAAGUGGUAAAAUGCUUUGAUCUCUCGAUGACCACCUGUGGCGAAGGCGGUCUACCAGAACACGUUCGACGGUGAGGGAUGAAAGCUGGGGGAGCAAACCGGAUUAGAAACCCCAGUAGUCC